AAAUUGAAGAGUUUGAUCAUGGCUCAGAUUGAACGCUGGCGGCAGGCCUAACACAUGCAAGUCGAGCGGAAACGAGUUAUCAGAACCUUCGGGGAACGAUAGCGGCGUCGAGCGGCGGACGGGUGAGUAAUGCCUAGGAAAUUGCCCUGAUGUGGGGGAUAACCAUUGGAAACGAUGGCUAAUACCGCAUGAUGCCUACGGGCCAAAGAGGGGGACCUUCGGGCCUCUCG
This 230-nucleotide ribosomal RNA is filed under the name Vibrio sp. T21. RNAcentral's name for it is "partial 16S ribosomal RNA". It matches the Rfam family "Bacterial small subunit ribosomal RNA", at positions 1 to 219 of the family's 1533-position model. Lineage: Bacteria; Pseudomonadati; Pseudomonadota; Gammaproteobacteria; Vibrionales; Vibrionaceae. The record is from RNAcentral.